This 552-nucleotide ribosomal RNA is filed under the name Tenodera aridifolia. Its description in RNAcentral is "partial 16S ribosomal RNA". It matches the Rfam family "Bacterial large subunit ribosomal RNA", at positions 1800 to 2621 of the family's 2925-position model. The record is from RNAcentral. Lineage: Eukaryota; Metazoa; Arthropoda; Insecta; Mantodea; Mantidae.
CUGUUUAUCAAAAACAUGGUUUCUUGUAAUUAUUUAGGAGAUCUGACCUGCCCACUGAAAAUAUUUUGAAGGGCCGCCGUAUUUUGACUGUGCAAAGGUAGCAUAAUCAUUAGUCUUUUAAUUAAAGGCUGGUAUGAAUGGUUGGAUGAGGUAAAUUCUGUUUUAUGUUAAUUGAUAUUGAAUUUAGAUUUUAAGUAAAAAUACUUAAAUGUUAUUAAGGGACGAGAAGACCCUAUAGAGUUUAAUAAAUGUAGUAAUUAAUUGAGUUAAAGUUUAAUUUUUGGUUUUUAUGUAAUUUAUUUAAUUGGGGUGAUUGGAAGAUAAAAUAAACUCUUCUUUAUAUUUAAUAAAUUAAUUAGUUGUAUGAUCCAUAUUUAAUGAUUAAAAGAUUAAAUUACCUUAGGGAUAACAGCAUAAUUCUUUUUAAGAGUUCAUAUCGAAAAAAGAGAUUGUGACCUCGAUGUUGGAUUAAGAUUAGUUAUGGGUGCAGAUGUUCAAUAACUAGGUCUGUUCGACCUUAAAAAUCUUACAUGAUCUGAGUUCAAACCGGAG